This 2269-nucleotide ribosomal RNA is filed under the name Escherichia coli. Its description in RNAcentral is "bacterial LSU rRNA". It matches the Rfam family "Bacterial large subunit ribosomal RNA", at positions 680 to 2925 of the family's 2925-position model. Lineage: Bacteria; Pseudomonadati; Pseudomonadota; Gammaproteobacteria; Enterobacterales; Enterobacteriaceae. The record is from RNAcentral.
AGUCUUAACUGGGCGUUAAGUUGCAGGGUAUAGACCCGAAACCCGGUGAUCUAGCCAUGGGCAGGUUGAAGGUUGGGUAACACUAACUGGAGGACCGAACCGACUAAUGUUGAAAAAUUAGCGGAUGACUUGUGGCUGGGGGUGAAAGGCCAAUCAAACCGGGAGAUAGCUGGUUCUCCCCGAAAGCUAUUUAGGUAGCGCCUCGUGAAUUCAUCUCCGGGGGUAGAGCACUGUUUCGGCAAGGGGGUCAUCCCGACUUACCAACCCGAUGCAAACUGCGAAUACCGGAGAAUGUUAUCACGGGAGACACACGGCGGGUGCUAACGUCCGUCGUGAAGAGGGAAACAACCCAGACCGCCAGCUAAGGUCCCAAAGUCAUGGUUAAGUGGGAAACGAUGUGGGAAGGCCCAGACAGCCAGGAUGUUGGCUUAGAAGCAGCCAUCAUUUAAAGAAAGCGUAAUAGCUCACUGGUCGAGUCGGCCUGCGCGGAAGAUGUAACGGGGCUAAACCAUGCACCGAAGCUGCGGCAGCGACACUAUGUGUUGUUGGGUAGGGGAGCGUUCUGUAAGCCUGUGAAGGUGUACUGUGAGGUAUGCUGGAGGUAUCAGAAGUGCGAAUGCUGACAUAAGUAACGAUAAAGCGGGUGAAAAGCCCGCUCGCCGGAAGACCAAGGGUUCCUGUCCAACGUUAAUCGGGGCAGGGUGAGUCGACCCCUAAGGCGAGGCCGAAAGGCGUAGUCGAUGGGAAACAGGUUAAUAUUCCUGUACUUGGUGUUACUGCGAAGGGGGGACGGAGAAGGCUAUGUUGGCCGGGCGACGGUUGUCCCGGUUUAAGCGUGUAGGCUGGUUUUCCAGGCAAAUCCGGAAAAUCAAGGCUGAGGCGUGAUGACGAGGCACUACGGUGCUGAAGCAACAAAUGCCCUGCUUCCAGGAAAAGCCUCUAAGCAUCAGGUAACAUCAAAUCGUACCCCAAACCGACACAGGUGGUCAGGUAGAGAAUACCAAGGCGCUUGAGAGAACUCGGGUGAAGGAACUAGGCAAAAUGGUGCCGUAACUUCGGGAGAAGGCACGCUGAUAUGUAGGUGAAGCGACUUGCUCGUGGAGCUGAAAUCAGUCGAAGAUACCAGCUGGCUGCAACUGUUUAUUAAAAACACAGCACUGUGCAAACACGAAAGUGGACGUAUACGGUGUGACGCCUGCCCGGUGCCGGAAGGUUAAUUGAUGGGGUUAGCGGUAACGCGAAGCUCUUGAUCGAAGCCCCGGUAAACGGCGGCCGUAACUAUAACGGUCCUAAGGUAGCGAAAUUCCUUGUCGGGUAAGUUCCGACCUGCACGAAUGGCGUAAUGAUGGCCAGGCUGUCUCCACCCGAGACUCAGUGAAAUUGAACUCGCUGUGAAGAUGCAGUGUACCCGCGGCAAGACGGAAAGACCCCGUGAACCUUUACUAUAGCUUGACACUGAACAUUGAGCCUUGAUGUGUAGGAUAGGUGGGAGGCUUUGAAGUGUGGACGCCAGUCUGCAUGGAGCCGACCUUGAAAUACCACCCUUUAAUGUUUGAUGUUCUAACGUUGGCCCGUUAUCCGGGUUGCGGACAGUGUCUGGUGGGUAGUUUGACUGGGGCGGUCUCCUCCUAAAGAGUAACGGAGGAGCACGAAGGUUGGCUAAUCCUGGUCGGACAUCAGGAGGUUAGUGCAAUGGCAUAAGCCAGCUUGACUGCGAGCGUGACGGCGCGAGCAGGUGCGAAAGCAGGUCAUAGUGAUCCGGUGGUUCUGAAUGGAAGGGCCAUCGCUCAACGGAUAAAAGGUACUCCGGGGAUAACAGGCUGAUACCGCCCAAGAGUUCAUAUCGACGGCGGUGUUUGGCACCUCGAUGUCGGCUCAUCACAUCCUGGGGCUGAAGUAGGUCCCAAGGGUAUGGCUGUUCGCCAUUUAAAGUGGUACGCGAGCUGGGUUUAGAACGUCGUGAGACAGUUCGGUCCCUAUCUGCCGUGGGCGCUGGAGAACUGAGGGGGGCUGCUCCUAGUACGAGAGGACCGGAGUGGACGCAUCACUGGUGUUCGGGUUGUCAUGCCAAUGGCACUGCCCGGUAGCUAAAUGCGGAAGAGAUAAGUGCUGAAAGCAUCUAAGCACGAAACUUGCCCCGAGAUGAGUUCUCCCUGACUCCCUGAGAGUCCUGAAGGAACGUUGAAGACGACGACGUUGAUAGGCCGGGUGUGUAAGCGCAGCGAUGCGUUGAGCUAACCGGUACUAAUGAACCGUGAGGCUUAACCUU